GGUUUGGCAGACACCGGAGGUGAUCGACCAUUGUAGAAAUCCAGUUACUGAAGCCCGUCUGUUGUAGAAGCUCGUCCAGAAUCUAUCCGCUAUGGAAGUUCGGACAGAGUCCGGUUCUUACAGAAGGCUGGAAGGAGGCCGCUUGUUGUAGAAGCUCGGUCGAAGAUCAGUUGUCGUGGAAGCUCAGAGUAGUGAUCUGGUCAGUGGAGCCUGUCCCAUUGUAGAAGCUCAUCUGGGAUCCGGAGUAGAUAUUCGAAGUAGACUGCCUGCAGUAGGAGUUCGGAGUAGACUGCUUGCUGUAGAAGUUUGGCUCUCGCAGGAGCUCGGAUGGAAUUCGAAAGGCGGUCGACCAUCGUAGAAGCUUGGAUGGAGUCUGAUUACUAUAGAAAUCUUGUUGUCGGAGAAGCUCGGAUAUUGACAAAGUCUGGAAGAAGUUUGGAGUAGGGUCGUCAGUGGCCAGAAGAAGUCUGGAAGGGAUUCGGAGAAUAGUGGAUCACUGUAGAAGAUCGGCUGAUAGUGAAGCCCAGAGAGCCUUUGGAGCGGCUCGAUAGAUGAAUGGAGAAGCUCAUUGUCGGAGAAGUCCGGAUGGUAUUAUGGAAGCUCGGACGGUCGAGGGGGUUCAGAAAGAUGCCACACA
This 637-nucleotide long non-coding RNA is filed under the name Elaeis guineensis (African oil palm). Its description in RNAcentral is "long non-coding RNA (EGUI_LNC039946)". Lineage: Eukaryota; Viridiplantae; Streptophyta; Magnoliopsida; Arecales; Arecaceae. The record is from RNAcentral.